RNAcentral lists this ribosomal RNA (492 nucleotides) under uncultured bacterium. RNAcentral's name for it is "partial 16S ribosomal RNA". It matches the Rfam family "Bacterial small subunit ribosomal RNA", at positions 29 to 507 of the family's 1533-position model. The record is from RNAcentral.
AGUGAACGCUGGCGGUAGGCCUAACACAUGCAAGUCGAGCGGCAGAACAGUACGAGCUUGCUCAUUCGGGUGGCGAGUGGCGGACAGGUGCGAAAUACCUCGGAAUCAACUUUUUCGAGGGGGCUAAAACGGGCAAACAUACGCUAAUCGCGCAUACGACCUAAGGGUGGAAGCAGCGGAUCUUACGCUAUCACACGAUCCAAUGACCCGAUGUCGGAUUAGCUAGUUAGCGGGGUAAAGGGCCACCCAGGCGUCGAUGCGUAGCUGGUCUGAGGAGGUUAUUCACCAAACUGGAACUGAGACACGGUCCAGACUCCUACGGGGAGCAGCAGUUGGGAAUAUUUGACAAUGGGCGCAAGCCUUGUCCAGCCAUACCGCGUGGGUUGAGAAGGGUUUCGGGUUUGUAAACCCUUUUGUUUGGAAAGAAAAGCAGCUGGUUAAUACCCCGCUGUUCUGACGGUACCCAAAGGAUAAGCACCGGCUAACUUCGUU